This 1256-nucleotide long non-coding RNA is filed under the name Lonchura striata (white-rumped munia). RNAcentral's name for it is "domestica (Bengalese finch) lncRNA (ENSLSDG00000018014.1)". Lineage: Eukaryota; Metazoa; Chordata; Aves; Passeriformes; Estrildidae. The record is from RNAcentral.
GGAAGAACUUUUGCCCAGAGAGGGGCAUCAUAGAUGGGAAUGGGCUGCCUGGGGCAGUGGUGGGGUCCCCAUUGUGGGAGGGGUUCAAGGAAAGGCUGGGCGUGGCCCUCAGGGCUCUGCUGGGGUUGCCAUGUUGGGGAAGGGUCCCCAGCUGGGCUCAGUGAUGUCACAGGGCUCUCCCAAGGCAAUUGAUUCCACGGUUCUGUGACAUCACAGCCUCUGGGGCCGGCAGGGUGGCGCAGAACUGUCCCCAGCCCAGAGCUGGAUCCGCAGUUGCUGCGGAGACACGGCCAGAGUGGUGCUGCGGUGGCAGCUCAAGCUACAGCAGCACCAUGGCUGGCUACGGCUCCUGCUGGCUCCUGGGCGCCUGCGUGCUCCUGAUGCUGGUGCAGCCCCUCAGCCCUUCCAGCAAACCUGAGGGGGACCUGGGCACCUUGAAGAAGCUUCCCCAGGUCACGGAGCAGCAGGUCGCCAGCCUUGAGACGACCGCCUGGUGGGUCAAGGCGGUGGCAGAGGCUUUGGUGUCCACAGUGGUGCAGAUGGUGCUGACGGCCAUUGUCCACAGCCUGGGAGGAAGGCUCUGGAGAUGGUGGAGAAAGGUGAGGGAGGGGUGUCAGGCAGCUGGGAUUGAGGCAGGGCUAAGCAUGAAAGAUGGCCUUGAAUCAAGGCUGCACCGGGUGAGGCACGAGAGCCUCCAUGGAGGAGAAAAGCCGGUCAGAUCCCAAGGGUCCUGGCCCUCUUGGGCAGCACUUUGCCCAAGGCCCCAGGGCAGAGGGGGACUUGCGGCCCAGGGAGGGAAUCAGGGCCAGGGGCAGAGCCCCAGGCACACCAGGCUGAGCUGCUCAGAGCUCUUCCCCCUACAGCCUCAGCCCGGGGCAGCCGGGCCAGGCCAGAGUGUCUCCUGGGGCGUCCAAAGUGAUGGCAAGAGGGCUCAGCCCCACGCACUCCCCGUUCUGUGUCUUGCAGGAGAAGCGCCAGAGCCCCUCGCUCUCUGCAGGGCGGUGCUGCUGCCAGGGACGCGGCUGCAGCAAGGAGCUGCUGCAGCUGCAGAGGCAGAGCCGUGCCCUGAUGCGGCUGUGCCUGCGCCUCAGCUCUCGGCAGAGGCGCCGGUAGGAGAGAUCGGCAAAAUGGGGCCUUUGGAAGAGGAGGCGGCUGCACUUCUCCCCUCAGCUCGGAGGUCCCCAGCUCCAGCUCGCCUCUGGGCUGGCAGAGCCGAGCAAGGGGAUGUGAGAGCAGUGCUCAGCCCGGGCACUGCC